CGAACGACUCUAAAGGGAAUGCAGUAGAAAUGUUCUGUGUAAUUUUACAAGUUUCCCGAUGUAUGUCGAGUUGUUACCGUUUAGUUCGCUUUGAUUAACUAUGCUAUCAGUUUUCUUUCUGUGUUGUAUAUCCAUUCAGAACCAUUAGUUUCUCUGUUUAGUAUACGACUUGCCCGAAUGGUCAUGCCAACAUCUGGACACGUUUGACGACAUUGAAGAGAAGACCAAAGCGUCUGUUGCAAUCAACGAAUAGUAGGAUGCGAAUACGCAUAAGAAACGGCGGAAACUAUUUCGUGACGAGAGUUCGACACCAGAUGCAAAUUUGGAAUGGCAUUGAGGCGUCUUUUGUUGACGGGCUCGUUCAUUCAAAACCAUCUUAGAAGCGGACCAAGACACAACCAUCACCCACAUAAGUGAACUGUUGAAGUUAGAUGGCGGUAAAUUAUAGACAACUUUGCGAUCGCUUUACGAAUAAUUCCAGUUGAUAACUGUCAAGGAAGUCAUUUUCAACAUAAUCACGCGUGAAAAACUAUCUACGGAACACCAUGAUUCAGGAAAGGUUGACAGCAUUGGGCUACUGUCUACUGAAUGUCAAGUCCUCCGAGAACUAGACGUCACACAGCUGUCGUAAAAGAAACUUAUAGGCUUAAAUCUGUUACAUGUAACAUGCAUUUUAAGUCAGUUAAUAAAAUAGUUUUACAUU
Molecule: long non-coding RNA, 703 nt
Organism: Dreissena polymorpha
Lineage: Eukaryota; Metazoa; Mollusca; Bivalvia; Myida; Dreissenidae
Exons: 2
Source: RefSeq, a predicted model, not a curated record